Molecule: long non-coding RNA, 4055 nt
Organism: Hemicordylus capensis (graceful crag lizard)
Lineage: Eukaryota; Metazoa; Chordata; Lepidosauria; Squamata; Cordylidae
Exons: 2
Source: RefSeq, a predicted model, not a curated record
GAGCAGAGGGUGUUAGUGCAUCCUCCCCUGCUCUUAAAGCAGCACCCCCAGCGCCAUCAAACCUGCAGAACCCACCGCAUUUUGAACCAGUUUGGAGGCUCAUAAAAGGCCUCCAGACCAGUUCCGUGCACAUCCUUAGUGCCAGGUGCUUUAGAGCCAGAGGGGGGAGUGGGGAAAGAAAUAUAGGGGAUGGGAAUAUGUUGCAUUUUGAAAUGUUUCUACUAAUGCAUAGUUGCAUAAAUAUACCUGUUUUAUAUCCUCACAUUCUUGUGAUUUCAGUUGCUGUUUGUGCCCUCAAGAAGUCACAUGUUAAAAAUACAUGUGUGUGGGGGGAUGAUGCUUAAUUUGUGGGCGGGGGCCCCUCCAAAGGCCUUUAGGUCUAUGCUCCAAAAUUACCUAGGUGCACCUCUGAUUUGUAGUGUGGGCCUUAGUUUCUAUUUAAUCUCUCUUUUCUAAAUAGAUGCUGGUGCUCAUGCCAUGCCACAUCUACUGGGGAAGAGGAGUUCCUCCCAUCCACACUUAAACCAGUUCUUCUUAUAGAGAUUUGGGAACUGUAGUUCAGUAAAGGGCAGGCUAGGGCAGAGAUUCCCAUUUUGCAUCCCCAGAUGUUGGGUUGCCUAUAGUUGUUGGACCCAGCUGCUGUUGGAUUUUUUUUGUUGUUGUCACAAUGAACUAACACAGAUGUGGGAAAAGGCUACAGCUGGGGUUCCCACUCUUGAGUCCUUAGACGUUACUGGAUUACAAUGUGUAUCACCCUCAGCCACAAUGGCCUCUGGUCAUUGCAGCUGGGGAUGAUGUAGUCCAGCAUCAUCAGGGGUGCCAAGCGUGGGAACUCCUGGGGCUUGUGGAUCUGAUAAUCAUCAGCACUCUUUCCAACCUAGAACUCCCAGGAUAGGACUAGUAUCUCUAUAUAUAAUUCUCCUGGGUGUGCCUUUCGAACGUGCGUCCCGGCAGCCCAGCUGAUUGGCUGGGCUGCGGGGGCGCCUGAUUGGUCCUGGCGCACCCAGGAGAAUUGGCUGGCUGUGGAGGCAAGGCAGCGGGCCGGCGCGGCGGCAGUAGGAGGCCAGGCCGCGGCGGGCCAGGCAACGGCAGGAUGAGGCGGCAGGUCCAGUGUGACGGUGGGUCCGGUGCGGCCGCGGCGGCAGGCCCAGCCGUGAUGGCGGCCGCACUCGGCCCGGCCGGAGACUGAGGCAGGAGGAGAGAGAGGUAGCCGGCCCCAAAGAGCGCACAGAUGCUCUGUGCGGGGGUAGGCUUGUAAAAUAUAUUUAUGUUUGCAAUGUAGAUAGGAGCUAGGGGUAUGCAUGAACCAAAUUUUGCAGUUCGGUUCAAAUUAGAAUCAAACUGCUGGUCUGCGAACCAUCGAGUGGUCUGUUCAAUUCAACUGAACUAGUUUGGCAGUUCAAGGAGCUAUUUUGUAAAGGGGAAUUCGGUCAGGAUUUCCUUUUACAAGCAAAGGCGGGGUGGAAUACGUGAAAAGGGCAGCUGCGGGGGCAACGAGAGGGAACCUUUUAAAGUAGAUUAAGGUUUUUACUGGUCCGGCAGCAGCUGCAGCUCUUCAAAGCCCCCCAGCGCAGCCCAAGUGGGUGGCGCUCCCCCCAGUAACCUGCCUGUGCGGUGGUGGCAUCGUUCUGGCCUCCGUGGCUGUGAGGAGGCCAUUUGGGUGGUCAUGCAAAUUUACUUGUAAUCCUCACCAGAUUCCCCUUCACAAGCAUAGCUCCUCAAACCGCUGAACCAGUCCACUAUGGACUGGACUCAGUUCGAUUCGAUCACAGACAGGACCGCCUCUGGUCUGGUCUGCAACCAAACAGUCAUACUGGCCUGGUUUGAUACGAACAGGUUCACGAUUGAAUGGUUCAUGCACACCCCAUAGGAACUCACCCAGAUACAUCUCUUCCAGUCCUGAAGGAUGACACUUGCAGGUGGCAAUUAUGACAUCACCUGUGGUUUCUUUAUUAUGGUGUGUUCAUGGUCUCCUUGGUGAUAGCUAAAGAUCAACAGUCUGGCUCAGUGGUGUGGAUGAUGCAGGAGAAGCAGCAGUGUCUCUCAGGGGCAGCUUGGUUCUCCUCUUCCUGAUCCAAGAAUAAUGGGAUAAUCACGGCAAAGCAGUUGUGCUCCUUUUUAAUAUACAAAUGGAUGCCUGGUAAGAAGUAUUUUUCUGUUCUAAAACAGGAAUUUUUAAUAGCUGGAGGCAGUUUGAAACCAAACAAUCAAUCAAAUGAGGCAAGUAUUUCAGCAUCUCUAAAUGCCAAAUUACUUGGCUCUGUAAAUAUCCUUUGCCAAGGCUUAGUUCUAGAGACUGGAGAGGAAAAGAUACUAAGUUGCUGGGAGAAGUAUCUUAACCCUGGACAUAGAACAACUUGAACAAGAAGCUACAGACAAAUGGACAACAAUAAGACAACACUUGUUUUGGGAAGUCAUCUGGAAAAGCUUUAAAAAACCUAGAUUCCACCAAGUUUAAGAAAAUUGAUAACAAAAAUUGUGACACAAGGCAAGGAAUAUAACUUGCUGUACUGUUGCAGAAAAAGAGAAGCAAAAAACUUCAGAUAUUAGCAUCACCAACACAGAGUUGGAGGAAGAAACAUCAAUAACAUGUGCUACACUGAUGACACCACUCUGAUAGCUGAGAAUGCAGAUGAUCUGCAAGCUCUAGUAAUGAAAGUCAAGGAGCACAGUGAAAAAAUGGGACUACGACUAAAUGUAAAGAAGACUAAUGACAAUGGGUACAGCAACCAGCCUCAGAAUUGAUAAUGAAGACAUUGAAAUGGUGGAUAGCUUCUGCCUUUUAGGAUCAACCAUCAACAGUAAAGGAUCCAGCAGUCAAGAAACAUGCCACAGACUAGCACUUGGUAGGGUUGCAAUGAAGGACUUGGAAAGGAUAUUUAGAUGUCAUGACGCGUCUAUACCUACAAAGAUUAGAAUCGUUCGGGCAAUGGUUUUUCCCAUGACACUCUAUGGAUGUGAAAGCUGGACUUUGAAGAAGCAAGAUAGAAAAAAUAUUGAUGCUUUUGAACUUUGGUGCUGGAGAAGACUUUUGAGGAUACCAUGGACAGCCAGGAAAACAAACAAAUGGAUCAUAGAACAAAUCAAGCCAGAAUUUUCACUUGAGGCACAAAUGACCAGGUUCAGACUAUCAUACUUAGGACAUAUUAUGCAAAAAUCCAGCUCCCUUGAGAAGUCUAUAAUGCUGAGAAAAGUUGAGGGAAAGAGAAGAAGAGGAGAACCAGCAGAAAGGUGGAUGGAUUUGAUUAUGACAGCAAUGAAUGCACCACUGAGAUACCUUAAAGGCCAAGUUGAAGACAGAUCAUCCUGGAGAGAAUCUAUGUGGUCACUAAAAGUCAACACCGACUUGAUGGCACUUAAUCAAUCAAUCAAUCAAUCAAACAGUCUCAUUACACAUUCAUUUAGUUCCAAUAAGAUGUGAGAUGCUAACUUGUAAAGAACAAGAGCUGAGAGUGCUUGCAAUGUAUAACAACAUAUUCCGUGUAUGACCUCACAAUAGCUUGUAUGAAGAUAACUUUAAAGCCCUUUUCCAAAAUGCCAGGCAGUCCAAUAAUGGAAUGUAUUAACAUGACAAGUCAUCAGAGUCCAUCAGCACUAACAAGGAUGAAUGGAUCAGGAAGAUUUUUGUAGUGGAAUGUGAUUGUUGAAAAAGGCCUUCCUUCUAUUCUUAGGAACUGUAAGUGGGAGAAGAAAGUGAGCAUACAAAGGGGUCUUGCAGAAUCCAGCCUCAAAUGAUUACAAUGGUGAUUAUGAUAAAAUGGAGGCUGAUUCUCUUACUGCUUCCUGUUGUAGGCUUCCAGCACUUCCCUUCAUGAUGUGUACAAAUGCUGACCUAGAGAAUGGUAGUUUCUGUGUUCCCAGCUACCUAUGGGUAUUCCUGGAGCUCCUGCAGAUUCACUGAAAGUAAAAUCUUCAUACUACCUUUCCUUCUGUCUGUGCCAUCUAUCUACCCUGCUCCCACUUUUCCUUUGUUGAACCUUUGAUUGUUUCCUUUGUUUUAUGAAUAUUCAACAAAAUCCUUACUUUGAAAUCAAGAUAAAAAGUCAGUUUUUACA